CAACUUUGGAUAAGCACAAGCAAGGGUUGGCGCCAAAGAGUCCAUGUUAAUCAGGACUCUUCAUCCUUAUCCAUUUGGGGCACCCACUUUAAUCCAAUUAGGCUCAUGCCAUAAUAUGAUUAUGGCAUCCAAUUCAAUAUAGUUUUGACAUGUGGACACUCCAUAAAAAUCCUCCAAUGAGCUCUCUUCAGUUUAAGACCCAUAUGUCAACAUUUGACAGAUGUCCUAAAAUGAAAUUG
RNAcentral lists this long non-coding RNA (239 nucleotides) under Elaeis guineensis (African oil palm). RNAcentral describes it as "long non-coding RNA (EGUI_LNC077585)". Lineage: Eukaryota; Viridiplantae; Streptophyta; Magnoliopsida; Arecales; Arecaceae. The record is from RNAcentral.